Molecule: transfer RNA, 88 nt
Filed under: Bacteroidia bacterium
Lineage: Bacteria; Pseudomonadati; Bacteroidota; Bacteroidia
Description: tRNA-Leu
Rfam family: tRNA
About the family: Transfer RNA (tRNA) molecules are approximately 80 nucleotides in length. Their secondary structure includes four short double-helical elements and three loops (D, anti-codon, and T loops).
Source: RNAcentral
GCCUGAGUGGUGGAAUGGUAGACACGAAGGACUUAAAAUCCUUUGGUCAGUGAUGGCUGUGCGGGUUCAAGUCCCGCCUCAGGUACCA